RNAcentral lists this ribosomal RNA (467 nucleotides) under uncultured bacterium. Its description in RNAcentral is "partial 16S ribosomal RNA". It matches the Rfam family "Bacterial small subunit ribosomal RNA", at positions 29 to 507 of the family's 1533-position model. The record is from RNAcentral.
ACGCACGCUGGCGGCGUGCUUAACACAUGCCAGUCGAACGGAAAGGCCCUGCUUUUGUGGGGUGCUCGAGUGGCGAACGGGUGAGUAACACGUGAGUAACCUGCCCUUGACUUUGGGAUAACUUCAGGAAACUGGGGCUAAUACCGGAUAGGAGCUCCUGCUGCAUGGUGGGGGUUGGAAAGUUUCGGCGGUUGGGGAUGGACUCGCGGCUUAUCAGCUUGUUGGUGGGGUAGUGGCUUACCAAGGCUUUGACGGGUAGCCGGCCUGAGAGGGUGACCGGCCACAUUGGGACUGAGAUACGGCCCAGACUCCUACGGGAGGCAGCAGUGGGGAAUAUUGCACAAUGGGCGGAAGCCUGAUGCAGCAACGCCGCGUGCGGGAUGACGGCCUUCGGGUUGUAAACCGCUUUCGCCUGUGACGAAGCGUGGGUGACGGUAAUGGGUAAAGAAGCACCGGCUAACUACGUG